UUAAGAAAUGCAGUGCAGUGGGCUGAAUACUAUAAUUCUAACAGGGGAAAACUGGCACUAAAAUCAGUGAGAAUUUUGUCUAUGUGAGGAUUAUAAGAUUGGUUAGUACUUAAAGAGUAACUUUUCUUCUUCCAUGAAGAUCCUCACUGAUGGGUUCCUAUGCUUUACCAGCUUCUCUUCUUUACCUCAGUCAGAUUACAGUGGAGGAUGGCAUGCUCUGAGUGCAGCUGCCAAUCUGUGGCCCAUGGCUGUGUCUCUUGUACUUAAACGUCAUGACCAUUGAGACAAGUGAACAUGUCAGAAAUCAGCCUUUGGAUGAGGAAGACUGGGUCCCAGCUGAAUCAAGCAGCACAGAUGCAGAGAUCAUGGUACCAAAAGGUGGCACAACUCAAAGCCCAGGACAGAGUAUAUACAGGCUUUGGACAAAGAAAUCCCUUUGCUAGAGCAGUAACAGACAGACGUGCAGAUUGUGUGCUUAUGCCAAACAGUAUUCAAGGGUCCAUGCUGUCUGGAAAACUGCACUCACAUUGAAGCCAUAUUGUUCCCUCCCUGAACCACAAGCUGGAUUCCCCAGCUGAUGAGCUGCUUUGCUCCAGGCUUACACAGGUCUGUGAUACA
Molecule: long non-coding RNA, 618 nt
Filed under: Numida meleagris (helmeted guineafowl)
Lineage: Eukaryota; Metazoa; Chordata; Aves; Galliformes; Numididae
Description: lncRNA (ENSNMEG00000010093.1)
Source: RNAcentral